This is a long non-coding RNA of Oncorhynchus gorbuscha (pink salmon), 1472 nucleotides long. RefSeq lists it as uncharacterized. NCBI's taxonomy places the organism in Eukaryota, Metazoa, Chordata, Actinopteri, Salmoniformes, Salmonidae. The record is from RefSeq and is a predicted model, not a curated record. The transcript is spliced from 4 exons.
UCAAUUCAAAUUACAGGAGACGGAGGAGGUAGAUAAAUAGUUCUUGAUUUUAGAACUUUGUUUUUGUGUUCAAUUAGCGCAAUUUUUUUUUCAUUUGCCUUGCAAACUUCAUUAGCAAGUAGAAGUAGCUACCUAGCUAACUACCAGCUCGAAUUUGCAGUUUUCGCUGCCAACGCUACUGAAAAUGCUGUUGACUUUUUAUUGAAGAACCGAUUUCAUUCUCUGGGGUACACGGAAAAGGUGCAAAUUAAAACCGAGGGCCGACCUCUGCCUGAGAUCAGUUUCAUGAAGAAGGAUGAAAAGUUGAGGGAGUUCAAUACCAAUUGGUAUCAAAAGUAUAGCUGGUUAACAAGAAACCUUUCAUCAAGCCGCUUGUAUUUCUGGCUUGCCUGCUUUUUGGAAAGUCUGAGCCUUGGGUGAAAGGGGGGUACAGUGACCUGAAGAACAAAAAUUGUUCAGCUAAAUGUGAAAAAAGAGAGUAUCUAAAAAAGGGAGCAUAUAAAUGCCCACAUCAGAUUCAAGCUUCUGGGAAAAAGACGCAUCGAUCAUGAUGAAGAUCUGUGUAUUCAAACUGCGCAACACAACGAGAAAGUAAGAAGAAACAGGGAUUUUCUCAAGCAGCUUAUCCACACCACUGCGUUUUGAUGCAUGCAAGUAUUGACUUUAAGAGGACAUGCCAAGAGAGAAAGUUCCGCUAACAAGGGCAACUACAAGGAGCUUGCAGCGCUAAAUCCCCUCCUGUUCCCUGAUUAAGAGGUGAGGACUACUCCACUCCACUCCACUACCUUUGUCAACUCUCUCCUGACAUGAACUGAAGCCACGUCUCAUGUAUCCACACAUCCACUGGCACUGCGAGUGCCCCUAUCAAUUGUCUCUCAUUACUUCAAAUCCUGAACACGCCUCAUACGCUCAUUCAAUUACUGCUGUGAUCCCUUCCCAACACUAUGUCUCCCAUCCUCCUCAAUGUUUCAGGUCACCAGCCUCACUGAUGUACAAUAUAUGGAAAAACCAUCAAUAUACUGAAAAAUCCCUCUCUUCAAAUCAAUGAUGAUGAAUCACAUACAGUACAGUACUACUCCAGUAACUCCGCCUAAGGCAGUGGUAAAGAUAGUGAAGAUAGUUUCCUGUGACUGUCCAACCAUCAACCAACAGCAAAGAGUCACAUGCAGGUAAAGCUUUCAAUUUGAACAUGACUUUGCUCUAAAAACUUUGAAGUGCCAAGUGAAGUCUUCUAUGAAACUUUGAUGAAGUAGGUCAUAAAAUAUGGAGGCCGUUACGAAGUGGACAUUAAUGGGUUGCCCAUGGGUAGACCCCAUCAUGCAGAGUCUGUGAUGAGGUGAAACUACCUGCUGUGCUAAACACAAGAUUUCAGGAAUGGAGGCGUGAGCAGAGCAGAGUACUACAAUUAAACUCCUCAUACCAAAAAUAAAUAUGUACACAAUUCAAGUAUGUACGUUGCAUUAAAAUGUAAU